ACUGAUGAUGUGGAGAGUUCUUAAAAAGAUCUUUGAAUCUCUCUCAUGCAUGAUAUAAGUUCUCAUCUAUCCUGUGUUUGAAUCUCACAAUCUCAUUGAACAUU
This is a non-coding RNA of Capsicum annuum, 104 nucleotides long. NCBI's taxonomy places the organism in Eukaryota, Viridiplantae, Streptophyta, Magnoliopsida, Solanales, Solanaceae. The record is from Rfam.